This is a long non-coding RNA of Lolium rigidum, 1490 nucleotides long. RefSeq lists it as uncharacterized. Lineage: Eukaryota; Viridiplantae; Streptophyta; Magnoliopsida; Poales; Poaceae. The record is from RefSeq and is a predicted model, not a curated record. The transcript is spliced from 3 exons.
CCGAUCCCCGCCCUCUUCUCCACUUCAUCCUCCAGCUAGGGAUGAUUUCUGCAUCAGAUGCGUGAAUCGGUUAGCAGACCAUGUGUACGUCCUCUUCAAUUUAAUAGCUGACGUUCUCUGGUAUUUCAGCAGUUUCUGUACCAUGUGUGCAUUUAGUGUUGUUUUUUUCUGAAUUUCUGUGUUCAGAUCAGUACAGAAACACCAGAUUAUAUAGUUAUGUUGAAUACCAAAGCUCAUCUCCUCCUAUCUUUAUUUCUAUAGUCAUUCUAAACUGUACAAGGGCAGAGAACUACUUUGUAUCCAAACAACAAUUUAGAAGUGUAAGGAAAUACUGUUGUCUAUAGUCGUUUUAUUGGUGUUUAACAUACAAGAGUAUUUGAUUAACAGGGAGAAUCUUACAUUGCUCCCAAACAGAUCCUAAUAUGGUACUCUUACGCUCAAUCACGCCAUCCUCUCCUGUAGCUUUCUCCGAGGCACAACACGCCAACGUUGUGCAUACAGUGGAUUGUUAAGAAUAUGCUGUCAAUUCUAGGAUGCCAUUGUCAGUGAGGACGAUUUCAAAAAUGAAGGAUGCAUAUUCACCGGUUCCCAGCAAUAUGCUUUGUCAAUCAGGGUAUAUCCAUUAUUUUAAUCAGUUCUUGAUAAAUUGUUUUAAUCAGUAUUUGAUCGAUAUGUACAGGAGUAUGAGUAUCAGUGCUUGGUCAGUUGUUUGCUCCAAGUUUGGGCGUAAACUUGUUUUCGGUUGGAUUGUUUAUAUUUGAGAUGCCUACCACGUGUGGUGGUGGCUUCAGCGGUCUAAGCAUCGGCCAGGCCAAGAUCGGCAGUGGCUGCUCUACUGCAUCAGUUUCAAUGGGGCGUAAGGAUUAUGCUCCUUUUUGCAGUGUUGCAGUUGAAGGGCAUUCACAAGAAUAAUUAUGAGCGCUUAUUUUCUUGUUCCACUCAAUCAUAUAUUUCAUCGGCAUCUACUCCAUUGAACAUCACCAUAUUUAUUGUCCUUGGAUUGACCGGGCCUGAGGAAGCUGAUUGUUGCCUGAGCCUAUAAUUGGAUGCCACCAACUGGGCUUUGUGAAAAUUUCCCUCUCGGAGCUAAGUUUCUCAAUUGUACACUUUUUCUGCAACUAAUGUUGUUACUUAGACAGUCAAUUGGGAGGGGCAAGAUGAUGUUACAAGCUCUGAACUCUGAGCAUGUGCUGAUGUGUAUUUAUUCCCAAUAUUUUGAUGUGUCCGGUAAAAAGUACUCAAAAGGACCAGGAGUAACAAGUUAAUACCCUGCUUGUAUAAAAUGAUUUAUUGAUCAGUUGCUACAUAUAUAUUAGCCCAGACUAUACAUAUGUAUGCAUUGGAAAACAUUUGUACUACCUCCCAGAAAGGGCUAACUCUUUCACAGGAGGUAAAUGUCUGUAAACAUUUCCUAUAUUGGGUGAACUCUUGUUGAAUUAUAGGCUGGUACUAAUGACCACUGAUGUUGGAAAUAAAUAAAUAUGAUGUGU